This 387-nucleotide ribosomal RNA is filed under the name uncultured bacterium. RNAcentral's name for it is "bacterial SSU rRNA". It matches the Rfam family "Bacterial small subunit ribosomal RNA", at positions 29 to 416 of the family's 1533-position model. The record is from RNAcentral.
AUUGAACGCUGGCGGAAUGCUUUACACAUGCAAGUCGAACGGCAGCACGGGGGCAACCCUGGUGGCGAGUGGCGAACGGGUGAGUAACACAUCGGAACGUGCCCAGUCGUGGGGGAUAACGUAGCGAAAGCUACGCUAAUACCGCAUACGAACUCUGGUUGAAAGCGGGGGACUCGCAAGGGCCUCGCGCGAUUGGAGCGGCCGAUGGCAGAUUAGGUAGUUGGUGGGGAAAGGCCUACCAAGCCGACGAUCUGUAGCUGGUCUGAGAGGACGACCAGCCACACUGGGACUGAGACACGGCCCAGACUCCUACGGGAGGCAGCAGUGGGGAAUAUUGGACAAUGGGCGCAAGCCUGAUCCAGCAAUGCCGCGUGUGUGAAGAAGGCC